UCCCUGGUAGCUCAGCUGGUAAAGAAUCCACCUGCAAUGUAGGAGAUCCUGGUUCGAUUCCUGGUUUGGGAA
This 72-nucleotide transfer RNA is filed under the name Ovis aries (sheep). It matches the Rfam family "tRNA". From Rfam's summary of the family: Transfer RNA (tRNA) molecules are approximately 80 nucleotides in length. Their secondary structure includes four short double-helical elements and three loops (D, anti-codon, and T loops). The record is from Rfam by way of RNAcentral. Lineage: Eukaryota; Metazoa; Chordata; Mammalia; Artiodactyla; Bovidae.